CAGUCGAACGCCCCGCAAGGGGAGUGGCGGACGGGUGAGUAACGCGUGGGAAUUUUCCUCAAGGUACGGAACAACUCAGGGAAACCUGGGCUAAUACCGUAUGAUGCAGCGAUGCCAAAGAUUUAUCGCCUUGGGAUAAGCCCGCGUCAGAUUAGGUAGUUGGUGGGGUAACGGCCUACCAAGCCUGCGAUCUGUAGCUGGUCUGAGAGGACGAUCAGCCACAUUGGGACUGAGACACGGCCCAAACUCCUACGGGAGGCAGCAGUGGGGAAUCUUGCGCAAUGGGCGAAAGCCUGACGCAGCCAUGCCGCGUGAAUGAUGAAGGUCUUAGGAUUGUAAAGUUCUUUAGCCUGUGACGAUGAUGACGGUAACAGGAGAAUAAGCCCCGGCUAACUUCGUGCCAGCAGCCGCGGUAAUACGAAGGGGGCUAGCGUUGUUCGGAAUUACUGGGCGUAAAGCGCGCGUAGGCGGUUUUACAAGCCAGAGGUGAAAUGCCUGAGCUUAACUUGGGAAUUGCCUUUGGAACUGUAUGACUUCGAGGACGAGAGAGGUGAGUGGAAUUCCCAGUGUAGAGGUGAAAUUCGUAGAUAUUGGGAAGAACACCGGUGGCGAAGGCGGCUCACUGGCUCGUUUCUGACGCUGCAGCGCGAAAGCGUGGGGAUCAAACAGGAUUAGAUACCCUGGUAGUCCACGCUGUAAACGAUGAGUGCUAGGCGUCGGCACGCUUGCGUGUCGGUGCCGCAGCUAACGCGUGAAGCACUCCGCCUGGGGAGUACGGUCGCAAGAUUAAAACUCAAAGGAAUUGACGG
Molecule: ribosomal RNA, 809 nt
Filed under: uncultured bacterium
Lineage: Bacteria
Description: bacterial SSU rRNA
Rfam family: Bacterial small subunit ribosomal RNA
Source: RNAcentral